ACUGCUGGCGGCAGGCUUAACACAUGCAAGUCGAGCGGAUGAAAGUAGCUUGCUACUGGAUUCAGCGGCGGACGGGUGAGUAAUGCUUAGGAAUCUGCCUAUUAGUGGGGGACAACGUUCCGAAAGGAGCGCUAAUACCGCAUACGUCCUACGGGAGAAAGCAGGGGACCUUCGGGCCUUGCGCUAAUAGAUGAGCCUAAGUCGGAUUAGCUAGUUGGUAGGGUAAAGGCCUACCAAGGCGACGAUCUGUAGCGGGUCUGAGAGGAUGAUCCGCCACACUGGGACUGAGACACGGCCCAGACUCCUACGGGAGGCAGCAGUGGGGAAUAUUGGACAAUGGGGGGAACCCUGAUCCAUCCAUGCCGCGUGUGUGAAGAAGGCCUUUUGGUUGUAAAGCACUUUAAGCGAGGAGGAGGCUACCUAGAUUAAUACUUUAGGAUAGUGGACGUUACUCGCAGAAUAAGCACCGGCUAACUCUGUGCCAGCAGCCGCGGUAAUACAGAGGGUGCGAGCGUUAAUCGGAUUUACUGGGCGUAAAGCGUGCGUAGGCGGCCAAUUAAGUCAAAUGUGAAAUCCCCGAGCUUAACUUGGGAAUUGCAUUCGAUACUGGUUGGCUAGAGUAUGGGAGAGGAUGGUAGAAUUCCAGGUGUAGCGGUGAAAUGCGUAGAGAUCUGGAGGAAUACCGAUGGCGAAGGCAGCCAUCUGGCCUAAUACUGACGCUGAGGUACGAAAGCAUGGGGAGCAAACAGGAUUAGAUACCCUGGUAGUCCAUGCCGUAAACGAUGUCUACUAGCCGUUGGGGCCCUUGAGGCUUUAGUGGCGCAGCUAACGCGAUAAGUAAACCGCCUGGGGAGUACGGUCGCAAGACUAAAACUCAAAUGAAUUGACGGGGGCCCGCACAAGCGGUGGACCAU
RNAcentral lists this ribosomal RNA (914 nucleotides) under Acinetobacter sp. AaD8e. RNAcentral describes it as "bacterial SSU rRNA". It matches the Rfam family "Bacterial small subunit ribosomal RNA", at positions 32 to 940 of the family's 1533-position model. The record is from RNAcentral. Lineage: Bacteria; Pseudomonadati; Pseudomonadota; Gammaproteobacteria; Moraxellales; Moraxellaceae.